This 429-nucleotide ribosomal RNA is filed under the name Gemmatimonadota bacterium. RNAcentral's name for it is "Gemmatimonadetes bacterium partial 16S ribosomal RNA". It matches the Rfam family "Bacterial small subunit ribosomal RNA", at positions 355 to 776 of the family's 1533-position model. Lineage: Bacteria; Pseudomonadati; Gemmatimonadota. The record is from RNAcentral.
UAGGGAAUCUUCGGCAAUGGACGAAAGUCUGACCGAGCAACGCCGCGUGAGUGAAGAAGGUUUUCGGAUCGUAAAACUCUGUUGUUCGAGAAGAACAAGGACGUUAGUAACUGAACGUCCCCUGACGGUAUCUAACCAGAAAGCCACGGCUAACUACGUGCCAGCAGCCGCGGUAAUACGUAGGUGGCAAGCGUUGUCCGGAUUUAUUGGGCGUAAAGCGAGCGCAGGCGGUUUCUUAAGUCUGAUGUGAAAGCCCCCGGCUCAACCGGGGAGGGUCAUUGGAAACUGGGAGACUUGAGUGCAGAAGAGGAGAGUGGAAUUCCAUGUGUAGCGGUGAAAUGCGUAGAUAUAUGGAGGAACACCAGUGGCGAAGGCGGCUCUCUGGUCUGUAACUGACGCUGAGGCUCGAAAGCGGGGGGAGCAAACAGG